RNAcentral lists this long non-coding RNA (3460 nucleotides) under Sus scrofa (pig). RNAcentral describes it as "lncRNA (ENSSSCG00055004677.1)". Lineage: Eukaryota; Metazoa; Chordata; Mammalia; Artiodactyla; Suidae. The record is from RNAcentral.
GGGGGCUGCCUGUGGUUGGGCAGGAAAGGCAUGAACCCUGACUCUUGGGCUUGGCUGGAAUCCAGUCUCUACCCCUUGCUCCUUGUGUGAAUGCAGGUCACUGCCUUGCCAUUUGCUGAGCACCCUCUGUGCACCUGACGCUGAAGGCCCUCCUGAGGUCAGCAGUCAUUGCAGCCCUCUGUCCUGUUGCAGAUGGACAGACAGAAAGCAGAGAAGCAUUAUGUCCUCAUGGCUCAUGGCCGAUGAGGCUGAGAUUCAAAGACAGCUGUGUUUCCAGAUGAUUUUCUUCAGGGUGUGAGGUUCUGCAGGGGGAGGUGGAUGGGGGCUGGAGGCUGCACAGUUGGGGUGGUUGUGGCCCUCCAGCCCCUCCUUUGGGAAGAAUUCUACUAUCAUAUGGUUUGGUAAUUAUGAAUUUAUUGGAAAAAUAUUUGCAACUCAAAAGCUGUUGGAAAAUAAUUAUGUUUUUACUCCAUUAUGCCUUUCUUUCUAAGUUAGUUAAGCUCCUGGAGAGUCUUUGUCUUCUGCAAACUCAGGCUAAUAAUAGUACAAUCCUAGAAUUGUGGAAAAGAUGAAUCGAAGUAAUACACACGAACCGUUUGGUACAGAAUAGGGCCUCGCACACCAAUUGGUUCUCUUCCCCCUCAUCAAACAAAGACUUUGCAUGUAGGUGUGGCUCUCAACUGCCUGGGACAGGGCCAAACCAUUUAUUUGGAUAUUUUCGCAUUGUUUACAAUAAAGGCUAAUUAAUUCAACAACUAUUUGUUGAGAACCAACUGUGUGCCUAGAAAUGUGUGGGUCUGUGGCCAGAGAUGCCUGGUGGAAGGUGGGGUGGGCAGCCAGGUACCAUGGCGGCUGUGAGAGUUGUGGCCUCCUGCCCAUCCCUCUCUACCUGCCUCCCCCCGCCCUGCAAGAGAGUCCAAUGUCCAAGCAGGCGCCAUCAGGCCAUUCUUGUCUUUGGCUCUUUUCAAAUUUUUUCUGUGUUUUUGUGAGUUUGAUCCUUAGGAGGAGUGACCAUAGAGAAACCCAGGGUAGAUUGGAGGUGAAGAGGAGGGAUCAGUGGGGAGGGGCACAGUAAGGUUGACAUGUAUUUCCUUCCUGACUCAGCCAGAGGGGCCCUGUGUCUGCUGUCAAGGGGCUAAAAUAACACCCAUGUUGGGUUCCCUGGGCCUUGGGCCUCCGGCCCUAGCCUCUGGACACCUGUUGGCACUGUCCACUCUUGCAGAUGGGGUUUCAUGUAGCAAAGAGGGGAAUUCAGGCCAGUGACCUCUGAGGGGACCUUCUGAUAAGACAACCAAAGCCAGGCUGGGGGAAAGGAGACGGAGCAGGUUAGGAAGCUGUGGGGGUGGGACCCAGAGCGACACACUGUAACUCCCACAGACAUUGAGUUUGGGGAGAAUGGGGUGAAAACACCAAUUUCAAACAGCAACGCCAAACCUAGGAAAAGACUGAAGUAGUUGAAGAAGACCUUGAAAGUUUUCCCAAAUUUGCUAAAGUGAGGGGUUAUUUAUAUGAGCUCUGCAUCUGUUGCACAACAGGAAAGUCCAGGUGAGAAAAGGAAGGCAAGAUGUCAUUCGUGGUCAGAUGUCUCUUGAAUGAUGUCCUGAAUGAAGAGAGAGUCCAGCCUAUACCAAGAGCUGGUCUGGUCAAGAAACGAUACCAAGGGACCUUCCUAAAGGACUGGCAAUGAAGUGGACAGUGGCAGUCAUAAACAUUGAUAUGUGCCAGAAACUCACUUCAACCCUCUGCAUGAGCUCACUCAAUGCUAACAACAUUGUUAGGAAGCAGGUACUAUUACUAUCCCCACGUUACAGACGAGGAAGCUGGGGCACAGCCAGGUUAAGGUGCAAGCUUAACAUCAGCUGUGAGGCCAGAGUUCAAAGUGAGAGGCUGACCCCAGAACCCCUGCUCUCAAACACUUGCUUCCUCUCUACAAAGUGCACUGUUUGUGCAGAAGUCCUAAGAGGAGCCAAGGCUGGAGUAGUGGCUUUAAACUGGGGCCAGACCUUCUGAAUUGGUGAGCAAAAGUCAGUGUGUGUUAGUAUAUCUUUGGGAAUUUUCCCCCUAAGGAGUGGGAGGACAGAGUAUUUCCAGAGAAAUCAAUCAGCCCCAAUAAGUAAGAGUCCCAGAGGGCUGGGGUAAUGCCUACACACCAGUCUCCCAACCAAGGCUCAGCUUCUGGGCUGCCAGUUGGGCUGUAGGGCCUAGGCUGACUUGCAUUCUCAGGGCCAAUGGCCUUGCUACCUCCAGCUGGAUCUCCCAGAAAAGGUGUUUCCUUGCAGGGGCUUAGCUGUCUGUCUUCAUGGGAACUUUGGCUGGGAAGUAUGUCCUCUGGUAAGCAUUUCAUUUGCUGGGCUUGGCUUGGUAUAUAUUUACUAGAAGAUGAAGCCUGUUACAACAGAAAAAUGGUUACUGCACUGGAACAUUUUUCUCUAAGUGACAUUAUCCAUGACUUCUACUGAAAAGAAAAGAGAGGCAAAAUCCUUGUAUUCUGGGCCAAUGCUUUUGCAGUUUUCUGAUGAUGUAGAUUAUAGCCUGUCUAGCUUCCUAGCAGAUCUGUCUUACUCAUAAGAUACAGUAUAGCUUAAAAAAUCAGAAGAGGGGUGGGGGCUGGAGAAGAGGGCAUCAUUCUUAUUUUCAGAUAAGAUUUUGUAUUAUGAUUAAGUCACUUUCCCCAGACAACUCAGAUGAAGCAGAGGUUUUCUCUGUGAAGAUCAAUGUUGUCACUGGUCCUGAGUAGCAAAGAAAUAUGUAUGUUUUUUCCUGUCAUCUACAGCUAACAGUGAAGAAGCACAGCGAAUCAGGAACAAUGGAUAGAUUAGAGUCAUCUGAUUGGUGUUUGAAAAGCCAUACCAUUUUUGCUUUCAUAGGUAUUAGUGUAACUUGCAACACUCUUAUUGUUAGAUUUCAGUGAAAUAGGAAAAUACCCUUCCCACCAAAAAUGUACCUGCUACAAUCAGAGUCUGAUGCCAGUGUUUUAUCUCUUUCUGUCCCUUGGCUCUUUCAAUUUCCACUGUUUUAUUUGGAGGAGACCGUGGGAUGUGCUCUGGAGCAGAGAAGAUGUGCUGGUUGAAAUCCCACCUCUGUCCUGAGUCACAACCUCCAUGAGCCUCUGUUGGACGUCUCUCCUAUCUUUACUGAUUUUUUGUGCUGAUUUAUGGAUUAUUCAUCUGGUUGUCCUUCUCCCCGGUUCUGACAGUCUUGGCUUCAUACAUUUUGAGGCUGUGAGUGUGUUCAAGCAUUGUGUUGUCUGUCUUCCUAGUGAACUCCGCUUACCAGCCUUUAUCUCUAGCAUUUCUAUUGGCCUUUGAGUCUACUUAGUCCAAUAUGAAUAGAGUUAACCAAGCCUUUGUCAUUGGUGGGUCUGUUUGCCUUGUAUACCUUUUUCUAUACUUUUGCUUUUACUCUUUCAAAGUCUUAUGUUUUAGUGCAUCACUUGUAAUCUUCAAAAAAAAAAAAAAAA